RNAcentral lists this non-coding RNA (103 nucleotides) under Geobacter metallireducens. Its description in RNAcentral is "TPP sequence". It matches the Rfam family "TPP riboswitch aptamer (THI element)". Rfam says of the family: Vitamin B(1) in its active form thiamin pyrophosphate (TPP) is an essential coenzyme that is synthesised by coupling of pyrimidine and thiazole moieties in bacteria. The previously detected thiamin-regulatory element, thi box was extended, resulting in a new, highly conserved RNA secondary structure, the THI element, which is widely distributed in eubacteria and also occurs in some archaea. The record is from RNAcentral. Lineage: Bacteria; Pseudomonadati; Thermodesulfobacteriota; Desulfuromonadia; Geobacterales; Geobacteraceae. RNAcentral also lists the same sequence under 1 other name.
GCAGCCUGCUGGGGGAGUUCUUCGAGAACUGAGACGGGCACCGCCCGAACCCUUACCACCUGAUCCGGGUAAUGCCGGCGUAGGGAAGCGGCCAGAGACCUCG